AAAAAAUUAGGACUCACCACCACCACCUCGCCCUACAUCUGACAAAGUGGGAACAGAAGCAGUUAAGGAAUGAACAGCAGAACCGUUUCUACACCAACAGAAUUUCCUGUACAUGGGCUGGUUAAAAGUAUCCAUACUUUUUAUUCUAAUCAUUUCUAAGUUUUCUAGAGCACCUCCAAAAUACAAAUGAAAACUGCGCAGUGUAUAGUGGCCUGAGAUAUUGAGAAUUCUGCCAGUCUUCAGUCACCGUGUUCUCCACAGAUGCAUUGUCUUAUUUUAACUCCAGAGGCGUCCUCUUUUUUCUUUCUCAUUAGGAUUACUCUGCCCCUCAGCGGUUCCAGUGCCCUCAAAGCAAUCUGUCUCUGAAGUACUGGCUAUCUUCUGAGCGUGUGCCAGAAGAUCCAGCUUUGUUGAAAAGCGAAGCCGUUAGUCCCUUAAUACAAAGGAGACAAAUUGAUUUAUG
Molecule: long non-coding RNA, 463 nt
Filed under: Homo sapiens (human)
Lineage: Eukaryota; Metazoa; Chordata; Mammalia; Primates; Hominidae
Description: non-protein coding KTN1-AS1:8
Source: RNAcentral